CGAGUUUCCCAGGUGAUCGCGCGUCAUUCGCCGACGUCUCCGCGCAAGCGGCGGCCGAGGCCGUGACGUGAGGAAAGUCCGAACUCCACAGGGCAAGGCGCUGGGUAACCCCCAGGGGGCGUGAGCCCACGGAAAGUGCAACAGAGAGCAGACCGCCAACGGGCGGCGCGCCGCGAGGUGCCGCCGCUGCGGGCAAGGGUGAAACGGUGAGGUAAGAGCUCACCAGCAGUGGUGGCGACAUCACUGGCUCGGUAAACCCCGCCUGGAGCAAGACCGAAUAGAGGGGGAGGAGUGUGACCCGCUCCGUCAACACCCCAGGGUCGGUCGCAUCGAGGUGGUGAGAGAUCACCAUCCCAGUCAAAUGAUCACCACGGAGUGAUCCGUACAGAAUUCGGCUUACGGGAGACUCGGUAU
Molecule: RNase P RNA, 414 nt
Filed under: Candidatus Eiseniibacteriota bacterium
Lineage: Bacteria; Candidatus Eiseniibacteriota
Description: RNase P RNA component class A
Rfam family: Bacterial RNase P class A
About the family: Ribonuclease P (RNase P) is a ubiquitous endoribonuclease, found in archaea, bacteria and eukarya as well as chloroplasts and mitochondria. Its best characterised activity is the generation of mature 5'-ends of tRNAs by cleaving the 5'-leader elements of precursor-tRNAs.
Source: RNAcentral